This 1715-nucleotide long non-coding RNA is filed under the name Homo sapiens (human). Its description in RNAcentral is "HSALNT0247704". The record is from RNAcentral. Lineage: Eukaryota; Metazoa; Chordata; Mammalia; Primates; Hominidae.
CGGAAAGGGAGGUGUCCUACGGGCCGCUGCAGGGGUCCCGGCCUUGAAAAGAAGCGUCCCGGAGCUGCACCUUGGGCUCCUGGGUAACGAAGCGCCCGCCUGGAUUUAUAGGGGAAAACAGUACAUAUAUGUACUGAAAGAAAGCUGGAAACGAAAGAGAGAAGGAGAAAGAAAGAGAGGUGGGAAGGAGGAGAAAGAAGAAGAAGGAGAGAAAGAGAGAGGAAAAGAAGGAAGAAGAGAAAGAAUGAAUGAGGACUCCAAACUCCACGUAGGCAGGGAGCCUGUCUGCUGCUCUCAACUUUGGACUCAGCAUCGAACAUAGUCCCUGGUGCUUAGAAGAUGCUCAACAAAUACUUCACAAUUGAAUGAACACAUGGCUAUGCUGUCAUAGAAUUUGAAAGUUCUUGCAGGGAAAAUGUCUUGCCAAUAUGUACUUGAGAAGACCAUCCUUUUCAGUUGAACAACAAGAACCAAAAUGUUAAUCAAAUAUGUCCAGUGACUUUACAAUUUGCAGAGCAACUGAGAAAUAUAGAAAUUGGGCUGGGCAUGGUGGCUCACGCCUGUAAUCCCAGCACUUUGGGAGGCCGAAGCGGGCAGAUCACGAGGUCAAGAGAUUGAGACCAUCCUGGCCAACAUGGUGAAAUCCCAUCUCUACUAAAAAUACAAAAAUUAGCUGGGUGUGGUGGCACGUGCCUGUAGUCCCAGCUACUUGGGAGGCUGAGGAAGGAGGAUCACUUGAACCCGGGAGGCAGAGGUUGCAGUGAGCCAAGAUCGUGCCACUGCACUCCAGCUUGGGCGACAGAGUGAGACUCUGUCUCAAAAUAAAAAUAAAAAUAAAAAUAAAAGAAAUAUGAAAAUCGUUAGUAAUGGGAAUGAUGUGAGGAACUCAGUAUUUUUAAGCUGUUAGAUGGUAGGGGGCGAGAGAUAAAACCUUCACGGCAUAUGCUUACCUUGUAGAUCAUUAAUAAAUACAGGCAACACUAUGGCUCUGACUUUACACAGCAACAGUUCAUCUACAUUGCCACAAGGAAGUAGCCAGGGAUAUUACUAAUUUUAAAUACCAGCCCGUCAGCAAGAAUGAAGCUGAAAUUCAGGGCUGUUCCAAGAAAGGGCAGAAACAUGCCAGGAGCGCUGAGUAAACUUUCAGUCUGAAUCCAUGUGAAUUACUGGGGAGUCCUGGAUUUCGAAAUUCUUUUGCGGUUCACACCACCCACGUGUCAGUAAACAGGCUAAGGCUAAGGCUACUCCUGUUCUAUAUUGCCACCUAGUGGAUAAUGAUACCCGCGUUCCUUCGUGCAUUUGCUUCAGAGAGACUUGCCCUAGUUAGCAAACCAGCUGAUGAAUAUUAUUUGAGACACAAAUGAACUAACCUUUGAGUUUGUUUCCUUUGGACUUUGAGAUGUCUGUUUACUGAAGCGAAUGUGGCAUUUCAUCAUCUUCGAUCAGCCUGUAGGAAAAAAUAAGCAGCAUUUAUAAAUGGCAUCUCUUCAAGAAUUAAAAAUGCAUAAAGGUGGUAAUAUUUCCACUGAGUAGCCGUCAGUAAUUAAGUUUUUAAAUUUCUCUUUUUCUCCUUCUCUGUCUUUCCUAUUUACUUUUGAACCUUUAAUUACUAUACUGUGUCAUUUCAGGCAAAACAAUGCUAGACCCAGGCUUCAGGUUCCAUUGUUGUAGAAACAACGUAUUAGUGGAUCCUGAUAUCAAUAUGAGCAGCAUCA